CUGUCUCCUGGGCUGGAAUGCAGUAGCACAAACUUGGCUCAAUGCAACCUCUGCCUCCCAGGUCCAGGUUCAAGCGAUCCUCCUGUGUCCAGAAUUGGUGGGUUCUUGGUCUCACUGACUUGAAGAAUGAAGCCAUGGACCCUCGCGUGUCAUUCCUUUGGGUGAGUCAUUGCUGCCUCCAAGGGAUCCCAUAUUACGAUGCCCCCUUGGGAGGGGUGAGGAAGCCUGACUAACACCUGAGUGUAAAGAGGUUCACCCUACACUUCCUGACGUGGCAGGGGCACUGUCUUUUGAAGAGACCAGGCCAUCUGUUUCACUUGUGGGGUUUGUCUUACUGUUUUCUUGUGGUGGAGUUUUUGGUGAAGUUUUGAAGAAGGAUGAAAACACUCUGGAGCUUGAGCUGGAAUCCCUGGGCUGCCCCAAGGACACAUGCUCUGCUGCCUGUUGAAAAUGAGGGAAGAAACCAAUAAACAGGGAGCAUUCA
Molecule: non-coding RNA, 484 nt
Organism: Macaca mulatta (Rhesus monkey)
Lineage: Eukaryota; Metazoa; Chordata; Mammalia; Primates; Cercopithecidae
Source: RefSeq, a predicted model, not a curated record